This is a long non-coding RNA of Cyprinus carpio carpio, 414 nucleotides long. The record is from Ensembl. NCBI's taxonomy places the organism in Eukaryota, Metazoa, Chordata, Actinopteri, Cypriniformes, Cyprinidae.
AGAUGCUGAAAGUGGAAGCGUGGCAGGCAGGCCCGUGGAGCCUGAGCCGCCCGGUGUUAAUGAUGAUUAAUGAAGAGAGGAGAAAGGCUUCGGCUCCUCCUGGCCCUGUGAUGAAGCUCCUGAGGAAAAAGGAGCAAAAAUAAUGACUCAUCUUUUACAUACUGUAGGGCUGUCUGUCUCCCUCUCUACACUUACGGCAUCCACACCUCUCCCCGUGUCAGCGUCGUACGCCUGCUCUUCUCAACAGCUUUGGUGAGGAGACUGUGUCAGGUCAAUUAACAGUGCUGCUCCGUACAUUUUCCACCUGACUCUUCCCAUUAGCACCACUGAGAUACACAACAGCAAAGAGCGUGCAACCACACCUUCAGUAGCAACAGGAAACUAGAGUUUGUGUCGAUGUGAGGGCGUGUGUGC